Molecule: long non-coding RNA, 770 nt
Filed under: Homo sapiens (human)
Lineage: Eukaryota; Metazoa; Chordata; Mammalia; Primates; Hominidae
Description: HSALNT0055585
Source: RNAcentral
UGGAUACACCGCAAACGACUGUGUGGAGAGAAUAAAACCUGAUGAGCAAAGAGCCUGUGAAUCCGGCCCUUGUCCUCAGUGGGCUUAUGGCAACUGGGGAGAGUGCACUAAGCUGUGUGGUGGAGGCAUAAGAACAAGACUGGUGGUCUGUCAGCGGUCCAACGGUGAACGGUUUCCAGAUUUGAGCUGUGAAAUUCUUGAUAAACCUCCCGAUCGUGAGCAGUGUAACACACAUGCUUGUCCACACGACGCUGCAUGGAGUACUGGCCCUUGGAGCUCGGUACGGCCCUAACUAUUCAUGUUUGUUAACCAAACUAUCUAAUUCCAAGGUAUUCUGGGGCACUCCUCUGUGGCAGAUAAUUGUCACACUUACAAGGGCAUCCCAGAAACUCUGCUAUAAAUAGUCUAUUAUUUUCUCCAUAUUGGCACAUAAUAGAAUUAACUUUUUAUGAUAUUGCCAAAGUGACUUUAAAGAAUAAGUGUACCUCAUACAGGACCUGGUGCCAAGAAGUAGCUGCCUUUUCUUAGCCUAAAUACACACACACACACACACACACACACACACACACACACACAUCAUACACACACACAUACAUAGUGAUUUUAACAGACAACUCAAUAGCACACAUUCUUUCCUUUUCUAAGCUGUAGUAGUUUUGACUUUUUGGGAAAGAUACCUGCUUACUGAGGCCAAAGCAAUUUUUCUUCAGUGACUGUAAUUUGCCUGUGUGACUCGGGUACAGCUCUGAACAUAAUUUUUACAAAGUCUG